UAGGGAAUCUUCGGCAAUGGGGGCAACCCUGACCGAGCAACGCCGCGUGAGUGAAGAAGGUUUUCGGAUCGUAAAGCUCUGUUGUAAGUCAAGAACGAGUGUGAGAGUGGAAAGUUCACACUGCGACGGUAGCUUACCAGAAAGGGACGGCUAACUACGUGCCAGCAGCCGCGGUAAUACGUAGGUCCCGAGCGUUGUCCGGAUUUAUUGGGCGUAAAGCGAGCGCAGGCGGUUUGAUAAGUCUGAAGUUAAAGGCUGUGGCUCAACCAUAGUUCGCUUUGGAAACUGUCAAACUUGAGUGCAGAAGGGGAGAGUGGAAUUCCAUGUGUAGCGGUGAAAUGCGUAGAUAUAUGGAGGAACACCGGUGGCGAAAGCGGCUCUCUGGUCUGUAACUGACGCUGAGGCUCGAAAGCGUGGGGAGCGAACAGGAUUAGAUACCCUGGUAGUCCACGCCGUANCGAUGAGUGCUAGGUGUUGGAUCCUUUCCGGGAUUCAGUGCCGCAGCUAACGCAUUAAGCACUCCGCCUGGGGAGUACNACCGCAAGGNU
RNAcentral lists this ribosomal RNA (548 nucleotides) under uncultured bacterium. RNAcentral describes it as "bacterial SSU rRNA". It matches the Rfam family "Bacterial small subunit ribosomal RNA", at positions 355 to 895 of the family's 1533-position model. The record is from RNAcentral.